UCCUGACACAGGGAGGUAGUGACAAGAAAUAACAAUACAGGGCUAUUUUAGUCUUGUAAUUGGAAUGAGUACAAUUUACAUCUCUUCACGAGGAUCAAUUGGAGGGCAAGUCUGGUGCCAGCAGCCGCGGUAAUUCCAGCUCCAAUAGCGUAUAUUAAAGUUGUUGCAGUUAAAACGCUCGUAGUCGGAUUUCGGGGCGAACCCGCCGGUCUGCCGUUGGGUAUGCACUGGUGGGCGCGUCCUUCCUUCCGGAGACCGUUCCUACUCUUAGCUGAGCGGGGACGGGAGACGGAUCGUUUACUUUGAAAAAAUCAGAGUGUUUCAAGCAGGCAUUUGCUCUUGCAUGGAUUAGCAUGGGAUAAUGAAAUAGGACUUUGGUGCUAUUUUGUUGGUUUCGAACACCGAAGUAAUGAUUAACAGGGACA
RNAcentral lists this ribosomal RNA (425 nucleotides) under Haptophyta environmental samples. RNAcentral describes it as "SSU rRNA". It matches the Rfam family "Eukaryotic small subunit ribosomal RNA", at positions 449 to 880 of the family's 1831-position model. The record is from RNAcentral. Lineage: Eukaryota; Haptophyta.